ACGAACGCUGGCGGCGUGCUUAACACAUGCAAGUCGAACGGAAAGGCCCUGCUUUUGUGGGGUGCUCGAGUGGCGAACGGGUGAGUAACACGUGAGUAACCUGCCCUUGACUUUGGGAUAACUUCAGGAAACUGGGGCUAAUACCGGAUAGGAGCUCCUGCUGCAUGGUGGGGGUUGGAAAGUUUCGGCGGUUGGGGAUUGACUCGCGGCUUAUCAGCUUGUUGGUGGGGUAGUGGCUUACCAAGGCUUUGCCGGGUAGCCGGCCUGAGAGGGUGACCGGGCACAAUGGUACUGAGAGACGGACCAGACUCCUACGGGAGGCAGCAGUGGGGAAUAUUGCACAAUGGGCGGAAGCCUGAUGCAGCAACGCCGCGUGCGGGAUGACGGCCUGCGGGUUGUAAACCGCUUUCGCCUGUGACGAAGCGUGAGUGACGGUAAUGGGUAAAGAAGCACCGGCUAACUACGUG
Molecule: ribosomal RNA, 467 nt
Filed under: uncultured bacterium
Lineage: Bacteria
Description: partial 16S ribosomal RNA
Rfam family: Bacterial small subunit ribosomal RNA
Source: RNAcentral